UACAGAGGUGGCGAGCGUUGUUCGGAUUUACUGGGCGUAAAGGGUGCGUAGGUGGCUUCGUGUGUCGGAUGUGAAAGCUCACUGCUUAACGGUGAAACGGCAUUCGAAACUGCGAGGCUUGAGUGCAGGAGAGGAGAGCGGAAUUCUUGGUGUAGCGGUGGAAUGCGUUGAUAUCAAGAAGAACACCGGUGGCGUAGGCGGCUCUCUAGAAUGACACUGACACUGAGGCACGAAAGUUGGGGGAG
RNAcentral lists this ribosomal RNA (245 nucleotides) under uncultured bacterium. Its description in RNAcentral is "partial 16S ribosomal RNA". It matches the Rfam family "Bacterial small subunit ribosomal RNA", at positions 524 to 768 of the family's 1533-position model. The record is from RNAcentral.